ACUGCAGCCCCGUGGUGGUCAACACCUAAUGCAAUAUUGAAAUUUCAGUUGGGAAAUUGAAAGCUGUCCCUAACAAAAAACAUCUAAAUUUGUUAUUGAAAUCACAGUAAGGAUCAAUGAAUCCAAAUGCUUCUAGCAUAAGCACGAUUAUAGGCAGUGUUUAGACAAGCUCUUACAGGAAAACCAUGAACACAAGGCUAAAGAGAGACUAAGUGAUGCACUCUGCAGGAAUACUCAUGGAAGUCUUCACAGUGCAGGAGUCUGAUCUGAUUACCGAUGCUGUGCUUUAAGUACCCCUUAUCAUAUCUUUGUUUUCAGUGUUGUGCAGGGGUUGGACUCAGUGAUCUCUGGAGGCUGGAGAUGCUGUUUGCUAAUGGCAGAUGGAGAGAGGAAAAGCAAGUGCAAGGCAUGCUGUGCAUAGCCACCACAUGGCAUCUGCACCAUUUCCCCCUGCACCAAGGAGGAGCAGCUCACAAGCUUGGCCUGGGCCAGGGAAGGGAGCAGACAAACAUCUGGACCGACCCCAAACGAGCUGGUUCUGCAGUUGAAAUAGAUGGGUGCUGCAACAUGCCCUUGAAUGUAACAAAACCCACUCUAGUGUGGAUUUGACAUGGGCCCAGCACUGCAAGCCUGUCCGUCGUGGUGGAGCAGCCUGGUGGCCCUCAGUGAUGUCAUAAGGGCUAGAAUGAGGGGAGGAGCAGUGCGUGCUGCGUCCCUUCAUUGGAGCGCUGGAGCUCUGACUGAGCAGCUCGCUUGUUGCACUUGUGCACCGACUGCGUCCCUUUGUCUUCACACCGUCCUGUGCAGCACCUUGUAGGUAAGCUGAGACAGUGUGGGAGAGAUGGGGGGACAGUGAGUGC
Molecule: long non-coding RNA, 860 nt
Filed under: Phasianus colchicus (ring-necked pheasant)
Lineage: Eukaryota; Metazoa; Chordata; Aves; Galliformes; Phasianidae
Description: lncRNA (ENSPCLG00000015089.1)
Source: RNAcentral